UACAGAGGUCCCAAGCGUUGUUCGGAUUCAUUGGGCGUAAAGGGUGUGUAGGUGGCGCCGUAAGUCGGGUGUGAAAUUUCGGAGCUUAACUCCGAAACUGCACUUGAUACUGCCUUGCUCGAGUACUGGAGAGGAGAUUGGAAUUUACGGUGUAGCAGUGAAAUGCGUAGAUAUCGUAAGGAAGACCAGUGGCGAAGGCGAAUCUCUGGACAGUUACUGACACUGAGGCACGAAGGCCAGGGGAGCAAACGGG
Molecule: ribosomal RNA, 253 nt
Filed under: uncultured bacterium
Lineage: Bacteria
Description: partial 16S ribosomal RNA
Rfam family: Bacterial small subunit ribosomal RNA
Source: RNAcentral